RNAcentral lists this ribosomal RNA (460 nucleotides) under uncultured bacterium. RNAcentral's name for it is "partial 16S ribosomal RNA". It matches the Rfam family "Bacterial small subunit ribosomal RNA", at positions 338 to 795 of the family's 1533-position model. The record is from RNAcentral.
CCUACGGGGGGCAGCAGUGAGGAAUAUUGGUCAAUGGACGAGAGUCUGAACCAGCCAAGUAGCGUGAAGGAUGACUGCCCUAUGGGUUGUAAACUUCUUUCAUAUGGGAAUAAAACGUUCCACGUGUGGGAUUUUGUAUGUACCAUAUGAAUAAGGAUCGGCUAACUCCGGGCCAGCAGCAGCGGUAAUACGGAGGAUCUGAGCGUUAUCCGGAUUUAUUGGGUUUAAGGGGAGCGUAGGUGGAUUGUUAAGUUAGUUGUGAAAGCUUGCGGCUCAACCGUAAAAUUGCAGUUGAAACUGGCAGUCUUGAGUACAGUAGAGGUAGGCGGAAUUCGUGGUGUAGCGGUGAAAUGCUUAGAGAUCACGAAGAACUCCGAUUGCGAAGGCAGCUUACUAAACUGCCACUGACAUUGAUGCUCGAAAGUGUGGGUAUCAAACAGGAUUAGAUACCCUAGUAGUC